AACUUCCGUUGACUCCUAUGUGGUUCCGGGUGUAGAAGGAGGAGUGCAGCCAGAGACGGUUUUAGAACUAGGAAAGAUGAGUCAAAUCGAAGAACUAAAAGCGUUUGUCUCCGAGCGGCUACACUCAGCUGCUUCUGAAAUAUUAGGUGCUAUUGAAAAAACAAUAACGAAUUACGAGGAGCAGGCUAUCCGUUUAAAGGAAGACAACGACCGUCACCGUUCUCUGUUGGAUAUUAUCAUCAAAGCCAAUUCACCACAGACAGAAGCUGUUUGCACCACCAAAAAACGUACCCCUGCUGCUGCUGGCCCAGCUGCAUCAGAUCCAAGUCCUGCCCGCAAGGCCAGAGAAACCCACUACAAUUCCAGUGACUUGCAGUAUGCCUUCACUUCACACACUGACUUUCUGAAGUUUGCCGGCAAUGACGACUGUCCCUACUGCCUAAAGAGAAUUCAAGCCACUGAGACACAUUUGAUGAGAAGACAUUAUCUAUCUGCUGUCCAUUUUAAUCAAGAUGGUACUGAAAAGUUUGUUGUACCAUGUACGUGCAAAGACUUGAUCCAAGGCAGAAGUCACUGGCACUGCCCAUAUUGCACAAAAAUCAUUUAUCGGAAAGUUAGCUUUGAGGUGCACAUAUCUAAACAACAUGGUUAUCCAAUACUACAGCAAAGCCACUCCGCAGCGUGGCCUGUCUUUGGCGAGGAGGAGGAGGCUUUUCUGCAUCAGCCGUAUGCUUGGCCAGCAAGUGGUAUUUGAGACUCCACGUACUCCGGGGGUAACUCAAUUCACAUCGACAGGACAUGCAAAUAACUUUAAUCUUGUCGAGAAUAUCAUCUGGAAGGGCUUUGGAACUGAACUUGCCAUUCAAAAGACCCUUUUCUUUUUCCAUUUCUGCUCAAGGAGGUUUGUUUAUGCUAUCCAUCCACAACGUUACUGCUGCAUCACUUCAUGAUUUCCCAAAGUACGGAGAAGCCCAAAUCACAGAACACAAGUGCAUUAAUCGCACGUCAAAAGAAUUAGUGGCGUUAUUAUCACAUUCAUUUUGACAGCUCUAUUUUGAAUACAAAAAAGAUUCACUAAUAGUGAUUUUACUUACUCUAAGGACCUGUGGGACGUUUGAUAAUCAUUUAAUAAGUGUCAAGGAUGGCCUGAUUUGAUUUUGGUAAUCAAAGGUCAAGGUCAGUAAAACCUCACAAAAUGCGCUUUUUGGCCAUUACUCAAGAAUUCCUACACCAAUUACGACAACAUUACACACAAAUGUCUAAUAAGAUAUAAUGAAGUGAUGACAUUUUAUAUCCCAAACGUCAACUUCACUGUAACAUAAUGUUUUGCCAAAACACUUUUCUGGCCAUUAUUCAACUUCAUAACUCAGGAACAGAGGGGCAGAUUGUGACCAUAUUUAACACUUUGUCGAUGACUGAAUUGGUGACACUUAUCUUGAAACUGUGGUGAUUGUAUACAUCUGUGCUGCCGAGUUGAAGAUGUGUGUGAAGCAUCCCAGCUUCGCCAGAAAAUACACUUAAUACCUUUUUUAUUAAAUUCCUUGAAAGUCUACAAUACAUAUAUUAUGAGUCUGGACAGACAUGGAUGUAAACUGCAACUUGACUGGUUGGUGAAGGCAUACAACCGCAAAGCGGUAAUUUUAGUUCUCUACUUUCUUUUCUUUAAGCAUAUUCUGAGCAGACCUUGCCACAAGGAUGCCCAGUUUGCUUCAAAAUGUGUGUCAGAUAUAUGGCAAUCCUAUCAAUAUAAUAAAAUAUAUUGCUCUCUCCUUCCCCUUAGAGAUUGAUCAGCCCUCUAUCUCUGCCUUUGAGGAGGAGGUUCCCCUGAGUCCUGGACCUUGGUGUCACCAGGAGUUCAGCAGUCUGGACCAGGAGGUCCAACAGGCCUCACUGCUGCUUCAAGUUAAAGAAGAAGAAGAAGAAGAAGAAAAAGAAGAACGGGAAAUGCGGAAACAAGUGAGUCAUCCUGAGGGGCAGAACGUAUGUGGGCAAGCACAAAAAGGUAACAGUCAAACGAGUCUGGAGGCAGAUCAUGCCCAAGUCUCUGUAUUCAACAUUGUCUGUGUGGACAGUUAUAUUCAAGAUCUUGGCGAAAUCAACAGUGCGGGAAGGGGCAAGGGACAUCCUCCUCCUAAUUCUUCAAAUCAACCUCUGGAAAUGCACGAUAGUGGUGUUGGUGAAAUUCAGCAGCCAGCUGGGGAAUCUGAGCACCCCACACCUUGCUCUAGUUUAAAGGCAUUCAAUUCAAAGAGGAAAAAGCGUGUGAAAAGGUCUUUACCCCCCUUGAGUUUGAAUAUACAGAAAUCAACACAACCAUCUGUCAGUUCUAAUCCCACAGGUCCUCAUUGUUGUAAAGCAUGCGGAAAGACUUUCCAUUACAUGUACACGCUGAGGUCACAUGCACAAACACAUGCAGUGGAUAAAAUCCAUGUUUGUGGUAUCUGUGGAAAACAUUUAGAGUCUACAGACCGUUUAGUCCAGCACCUUCAAAGCCACACAAAGAGAAACAAAUGUGCUACAUGUGGGAAAGCAUUUUCUAAUAUUUCCCUUCUAAAACGGCAUUGGAGAUUUCACAGGUCUAAAUGCCAUGUCAUUAACUUAAAAACCACAGAUGGGUGAUAACCUACAAAUGUCAUAAAUGCCGAGUGAUAGCCAUUGUUUUUAUUAUAGUCAGUUGUGGACAGUUGUAGCCUGCUGGGGUGGGACUGGGUGGUGGGACGGAUUGAGAGGAUGAGAAGGAGAGACCAGAGGGUUGGGAAAGGGGAGGGCGGAUUUAUAUUUUGUUUAUUAUAUGGUGAUUUUAUGUAUACCAGAAUAUUUUGAAAGUUCAAUAAAAAAUUUGUUAAAAAAAAAAAGUAUUGUACUUAUGGGACAAAUAAUUCAGUCCUAGUGCUGGGAAGUAUGUUGAUGUUCAUUGUAUAUUGUGUUUAUAUACAAUUUUGUUCUCUAAAAUAAAAUAAAAAAAUUGAAGUCAAA
Perca fluviatilis (European perch) is the source of this 2976-nucleotide RNA transcript. It is a transcript of the gene named zinc finger protein 569-like, with no coding region annotated. NCBI's taxonomy places the organism in Eukaryota, Metazoa, Chordata, Actinopteri, Perciformes, Percidae. The transcript is spliced from 7 exons. The record is from RefSeq and is a predicted model, not a curated record.